UGAAACAUACGUGGAUUUAACCAAGUUAUAGUUCUGUUUGUAAGACCAUCCUAAGAUUAGCAUGCACAGAUAGUUUCCCAUAGGAAAAAUAAAACAUUUAAAGAAUAUAUUUUAGUUAUUGUAAAAUAACAUCUUUAAACUUCUGUAUUUUUAAAGACAAAAAUACCAGAGAGUGUAUAUAGAGUAUUUUCCCUUAAUGUACUUACCUUGUGGUACCUUCAGAUUCUGCCAUGUUCUUUUCAAUCUAUUGAAGGGCAUUUAUUGACCUUGGGGGUUUCAUUUGUCUGUUAGAUAUGUUCAAAGGUCAGCUGGGUGAUUAAAUUGGAUAAUAUUUUUUAAGGGGAAAAUAGUUACAAAGGGAUAAGUCUGGCUUUCUCCUGGGACAUAUCAAGUUGCUCUAAAAGUGGAAAAUGUCUCAAAAUCUCUGCAGUGGCAUGCUGGAAUAAGAUUAUGGUCUAUUAAAGUAACUGUUCAUGUGUAGAUAUAAGUUCUGUUACUUCAAAAAAUUAUUCUUACCUUUUAGACAUGUUACAACUACUUAAUUUAUUAUCAGAUCCAAGCAAGACAUUUGGUACUUCAGAUAUCUCGAUGUGGUAGAUUGAAGAUCUGGAGUAAGAACCAGAGAUGAUUUUUAAAAUGUGUCGAGAAGCCUGUCCCGUUGCCUGAAGUCUGAAUACCUUCUGUAAGGAAUGCUAGAUUAAUGAUGUGGAGUAUCUUUUUACAGCCUUUGCUAGAAGCUCAUUCCUUGUGCUAAAUAUGAACAAUCUCAUGAUCACUUGAUGUAAAACAAGCUUGAAAGAUUGUCUCUUGUAGAAGUGUACUUACCUUCCAUCACCAGGAGGCUACGUACGCAAUACCUCUGUACUUAGAAAAUAUUGAAGUACAGCCUGGUCUUUUUAAGGUUUGAAAAGUACUCUCUGCUUAAUGUUAAGUACUUGUAUGUAACAAUGUUAUUAUAUUCAUGGAUGCUUGUUAAUUUGAUGAGUCUUAUAGGGUUAGUCUGUUUCUGAAAGUUUUACUUGCUGCAGUUGUCAGUGAAAAUUAACUUCAGUUGAAACAAUGAUGCAUAUUUUAACAGUUAAAAUAUUCUAAAAUUUCUAUUUAAAAAGCAGAUCUCCAUAAUUGCCACUGAUAAUUUUGUAAUUACUGGUUCCCAUUAGUUGUUUCUGUGGUAGGAAAAUAUUGUACCUUGUGGUACCUGAUUUGCUUUUUUUUGCUGUUAAAAAAACUUCACAUUUAUUAUCUCUUAACAGAAGUAGUUUUAAACUAAAAUGUUCACAUUACUGAAUGAGGAAAAUUGAUCCAAUUGUUAGUAUUACAACAGGCUGAAAUUUAGGUGUUUUGCAUAGAGUUUGUGAUCGAAUAUCUGAAGGUUAUCAGUUUCUACUCAGGUGUUGAUGUUAGAAUUAGCAUUAAAUUCAAAAUUGCUUGAUUGCAGUUUACAUUUUAAAUGUAAUGGCAAUUCUGCAUUAUUAGUAAGUGUUGUUUUAAAUUUCCACCUUCAUCAAGGCUUUUAAAAAUGGAGAUUAAAGUUUUUCUAGAUAAUAGAAAUAUAAGUAAGUAUGAAGCACUUAAAUUAUUACUAGUUUAGGAGUUCCUGUCAUGGCACAGUGGAAACAAGUCUGACUAGGAACCAUGAGUUGGGAGGUUCGGUCCCUGGCCUCCCUUAGUGGGUUAAAGAUGUGGCGUUGUUGUGAGGUCACAAACAGGGCUCGGAUCUGGCGUGGCUGUGGCUGUGGCGUAGGCUGGCAGCUGUAGCUUCUUCGAUUAGACCCCUAGCCUGGGAACCUCCAUAUGCCGUGAGUGUGUCCCUAAAAAGCAAAAAUAAAUAAAUAAUUACUGGUUUAUUACUUGAAAGGAACUUUAUGGUUCAGUGUGAGAUAACAGCUUUUUUUUUUUUUUUUUUUUGUCUCUUGUCUUUUUAGGGCCACACCCGGGGCAUAUGGAGGGAGGUUCCCAGGCUAGGGGUCUAAUUGGAGCCGUAGCCACUGGCCUAUGCUAGAGCCAUAGCAACACCAGAUCCCAGCUGUGUCUGCGACCUACACGACAGCUCACGGCAACACCGGAUCCGUAACCCACUGAGCAAGGCCAGGGAUUGAACCUGCAACCUCGUGGUUCCUAGUCGGAUUCAUUUCCGCUCGCCACUUUGGGAACACCUGUGAUAACAGCUCUUAUGUGGUACAACUACAUGUUCCUUUGUUUUUCCUUAAAAUUUUACCAACUGAAGUGAUGUCUGUCCAUAAUAGCUUCAGAUUUCUGUGAUCAACUCAUAUAUGGUUGAAGCUACUCUAGAUAUAAAAUGAAUUAAAAAAUGAUUUUUAGCAAAAAUUUUAUAGUAAUUUCAAUGCUGUAUGGUAACAAAAAGCUAUCUGGUUAGACUGGCCUUUCUUGCUAGUUUCUAUCCGAUUUCCCCCUCUUUUUUUUGAAGGUGGAGUUACUUUCACUGAGUUUUAGUCUUUCUGUCCAAGAUGGGCAGUACUGUGAUACUGAGGUACAGUUUACUUCCCUUUCUUGUCAGAGUUUAUAGCACUUAGUGUUCUUUUUUUUUUUUUUUUUGUCUUUUUGCCAUUUCUAGGGCCGCUCCCACAGCAUAUGGAGGUUCCCAGGCUAGGGGUUGAAUUGGAGCUGUAGCCACCGACCUACGCCAGAGCCACAGCAACUCGGGAACCGAGCCACGUCUGCAACCUACACCACAGCUCACGGCAAUGCUGGAUCCUUAACCCACUGAGCAAGGCCAGGGAUCGAACCCACAACCUCAUGGUUCCUAGUCGGAUUUGUUAACCACUGAGCCACAAUGGGAACUCCAGCACUUAGUAUUCUUAAAAAAUGAACCUUUAUCAAAUUUUGUACUCAUUUGCACAUCAGCCUAGGAGUACCCUCAAGAAAGCAACAAAUGGAUUGUGUAACAAAACAGGGAUAUUGAAAUUAGUGAGCAUGGGGAUUUUGUCAUGUUCAGUGAAAAAUAAUAGUCUUUCAGAUAAAGACCAUGAGGUUUAUAAAUGGAAAACAUAAACUAAACUCUUUUUGGAAAACUAAAUUGGUUAUUCCUAGGAAAAGCAUACUGUAUGUUUUAAUUACCUUUACAUUUUUGGGAGCUAAAGAAGUAAAUGCCAAGAUUGGAGUUCCCAUCAUGGUGCAGUGGGUUAAGAAUCUGACCUCAGUGGCUUUGUGGAGGUGCGGGAUCAAUCCCUGGCCAGGUAUAGUGGGUUAAAGGAUCUGGUCUUGGCUGCAGCUGUGGAGUAGUUUGCCACCGAGGCUCAGAUUUAAUCUCUGGCCCAGAAAUUUCCAUAUGCUGCAGGUGCAGACAUAAAAUUAAAAAAAAAGAAAAAGUAAAUGCCAAGAUUUUAUCUGGUUCUCUUCCCCCUUUUAUUUAAUUGACACAAGUAAUUCCAUAGUAAUAUUACGGGUUUAAUUCUAUAAUGCUUAUUAUUUCCUAACAUUUACAAAGACAUUGCUCUGAGAUGAAAGAUGCUGUAUGAGGAGAUGGUGAUCUGUGUCCAUCCUCCUUUCCUCUUUAUUGUAUUUUUUCCUUAUACAUUAACAACAGCAGCAACCUCAACAACAGCCUAUUUUUAUAAUCUUGAAAAGGCUGCUUUUACCUGGGAGAAACUUUUUCAAGAUAGCUCAAGACCUGUGGCUUCUGAUAGUAAGUGAUCCAUUCAUUCUCUUGUAUCCUUAGCCGUGACUUUUUAAUGGAAGCUGGAGCUCAGGAGAUAAUACCCAGCAGCCCCAUGUUUGCACGCAGGAGUGGUGGUGGGCAUAUUCUCCCUUGUAGUAGUGAUCUCGACUGCUUUUUUAUAGUCCCUCCAAGGACCUUUCCACCCUCCACCAACAGUCUCCCUCUUGCCCCCCUUCCCUCUCACUCUUCUGUUUUGCCUUCUUCCUUCAUUAAAACACAUCAAGGAAACUAAGACCCUGUAAGUAUGCAGUUACUAUGUUUCAUAUUCUUAAUUAGCACUUAUAACUUUAGCAUAAUUUCCUAACAGAGCAGUCUUCCCAUUCCUUAUGCUGCUUUAGGUUCAUUGUCCUUCUAAAUGUCAGUGUCAAUUUAGGUAGCCUUUAAGUGUUUUGAAUAUAAGGAAAAGGGUGAAGGGAAGAAAUAACCAUUUAUAAAGUUACUAGGUUUCAUUGCUUAUGGUAAAUAAUUUUUUAAUCUUUUGCCAGAUGCAAAAAAAUCCUUUAAAACAACAGAAAAAAAUCAUUUUAUGCAAAUACUUAAUAUGUGUGUAAAUAUGUUGUUUUUGUUACCUUAAAAAAUCAUUAAUAAAAAUGAAUUUUUUUUAG
This 4284-nucleotide long non-coding RNA is filed under the name Sus scrofa (pig). RNAcentral describes it as "lncRNA (ENSSSCG00000055898.1)". Lineage: Eukaryota; Metazoa; Chordata; Mammalia; Artiodactyla; Suidae. The record is from RNAcentral.